CAUUCGUACUCUCAUUUAUUUGGCUCUGAUUUCCUUCCAGCUUCCGUUUUGGGCCCAGUCUUGUGAGUCUUUCCAAAUUACAGUUGGCAUACAAAUGAAGACAUGAAAUGUCCGGGCAGGGCAUGGCGACAGCUGUUGCUGAGUGUGGGACCCCCAGAUGAUUGAUGGGCAAGAUGAUGGGUGGAAGCUCUCAGGUAUAAGGAUGCUCCUCUCCCUCUGCCCAGUCCAUACUCCCACUCCACAGUCUCGAUGCUCGGCUUUCAAUGGGAAUUCAAUGAAAUGUUUUAUUAUUAACAAAGACAUGAAUGCCCUCUCCGCUCCGCAGUCUCCUAAUC
RNAcentral lists this long non-coding RNA (335 nucleotides) under Drosophila guanche. The record is from RNAcentral. Lineage: Eukaryota; Metazoa; Arthropoda; Insecta; Diptera; Drosophilidae.